UGGCUGCACCAAUUUACAUUCCCAGCAAAAGUGCACGAGUGUUCCUUUUUCUCCACAUCCUCAGCAACACGUCUUUUUGAUAACGGCCAUCCUAACAGCCUUUCUGAAGACCUUGAUUUGUAUUUUAAGCAGUAACUGCACUCUAGCAAGCAGCUAGUUGUCAGCGUUAUCUUCAUUUCUGCAAGACAGACCAGAUUCUUGGAGACAUAAGUGUCUUACCUCCUGGCCAGACCUGGCCACUUAGCCUGCGGAAGCGUCGGGACUCCUGACCGGCUAUGUGGACACAGAUGGUUCUAUUUGGGAUCCGAGACACAAAAAUUGUAAGUGCCGGAUGUAGGACAAUGUUCGUGGCUACUUUACUGAGCUAACGAUUGCUCAGUCCCAUAUACUGUUACAGAGCAACA
RNAcentral lists this long non-coding RNA (404 nucleotides) under Equus asinus (donkey). Its description in RNAcentral is "lncRNA (ENSEASG00005036821.1)". The record is from RNAcentral. Lineage: Eukaryota; Metazoa; Chordata; Mammalia; Perissodactyla; Equidae.